Molecule: transfer RNA, 101 nt
Filed under: Lasiosphaeris hirsuta
Lineage: Eukaryota; Fungi; Ascomycota; Sordariomycetes; Sordariales; Lasiosphaeriaceae
Description: tRNA-Pro
Source: RNAcentral
GGCAACGUAGCCAAGCGGUCUAAGGCGCCAGGUUGGGGUUCACCUGAAUUCAAUCAUCCUGGUCUCAGUAAUGGGGCGUGGGUUCGAAUCGCAUCAUUCCA